This 378-nucleotide ribosomal RNA is filed under the name uncultured crenarchaeote. RNAcentral's name for it is "bacterial SSU rRNA". It matches the Rfam family "Archaeal small subunit ribosomal RNA", at positions 472 to 850 of the family's 1478-position model. The record is from RNAcentral. Lineage: Archaea; Thermoproteati; Thermoproteota.
AAUACCAGCACCCCGAGUGGUCGGGACGAUUAUUGGGCCUAAAGCAUCCGUAGCCGGCCCAGUAAGUCCUCCGUUAAAUCCAACGGCUCAACCGUUGGGCUGCGGGGGAUACUGCUGGGCUAGGGGACGGGAGAGGCGAGGGGUAUUCCCGGGGUAGGGGUAAAAUCCACUGAUCCCGGGAGGACCACCAGUGGCAAAGGCGCCUCGCUAGAACGUGCCCGACGGUGAGGGAUGAAAGCUGGGGGAGCGAACCGGAUUAGAUACCCGGGUAGUCCCAGCCGUAAACGAUGUAGGUUCGGUGUUGGGCUGCCUCAGUGGCAGCCCAGUGGUUUAGGGAAGCCGUUAAGCCUAGUUUCUGGGGAGUACGGGUUUAAGGCU